This 69-nucleotide transfer RNA is filed under the name Neotoma lepida (desert woodrat). It matches the Rfam family "tRNA". From Rfam's summary of the family: Transfer RNA (tRNA) molecules are approximately 80 nucleotides in length. Their secondary structure includes four short double-helical elements and three loops (D, anti-codon, and T loops). Further hydrogen bonds mediate the characteristic L-shaped molecular structure. tRNAs have two regions of fundamental functional importance: the anti-codon, which is responsible for specific mRNA codon recognition, and the 3' end, to which the tRNAs corresponding amino acid is attached (by aminoacyl-tRNA synthetases). tRNAs cope with the degeneracy of the genetic code in two manners: having more than one tRNA (with a specific anti-codon) for a particular amino acid; and 'wobble' base-pairing, i.e. permitting non-standard base-pairing at the 3rd anti-codon position. Lineage: Eukaryota; Metazoa; Chordata; Mammalia; Rodentia; Cricetidae. The record is from Rfam by way of RNAcentral.
GGGACUGUAGCUCAGUUGGUAGAGUGCUUGUCUAGCACACAUGAAGGCCUGGUUCAAUCCUCAGUACCA